AUUUAUAUAGUUUAAGUAAAAAACAUUACAUUUUCAUUGUAAACUUAUAAGCAUUUUUUAUUAUAAAUA
RNAcentral lists this transfer RNA (69 nucleotides) under Raptrix fusca. Its description in RNAcentral is "tRNA-Glu". Lineage: Eukaryota; Metazoa; Arthropoda; Insecta; Mantodea; Acanthopidae. The record is from RNAcentral.